Long non-coding RNA from Diabrotica virgifera virgifera (western corn rootworm), 1357 nucleotides. RefSeq lists it as uncharacterized. NCBI's taxonomy places the organism in Eukaryota, Metazoa, Arthropoda, Insecta, Coleoptera, Chrysomelidae. The record is from RefSeq and is a predicted model, not a curated record. The transcript has 2 exons.
CCCGUAUUCCGAUUUUCAUAAUUUUCUUACCUUGAGUUCUCGAGAUAUUUCUAAUAGGCCCUUUAUCUGCCUCACCCUGUAUAGUUUAUAAGCUUAUUAUAGCUUAUAAUUUAAGUUUAGUUUAGUUUCAGUUUACUUUAACCCUUAACUACAGACAUUCCAUUAUUACAACGUAACAACAGAGGCCCGGUAUUUUUUACUGGUACUAUAAAAUAGAGUCAAAAUUUAAAGUUAAUAAAAAAAAACAAAUAAAUUAUGCAUUAUGUAUUUUUCUGGAGUCUCUAUUAGAUAUGGAAGAACUAGUAAAAUGAGUGAUUUUAAUAAUAUAAUAUGUGAGUUUUAAUGAAUAAUCUACACUCACCGGCACAAAAUUCCGCCACCCAAAAUUUUUGAAAGUUUGACAAUCUAUAACUUUAUUAUUUGUACUCCGAUUUUCAAGAUUCUUCUGUCAGUUUGUAAAUACAUGUAUUGAUAUCGUUUUUUAUUAUUCCGGUAACACAAGUUUUUUGCUUAGAUAGCAAUAUACGGGGGUGAAUGGAAGCGUUGUAUUUUCUCCUAACUUUAAAAAAUUCUGUGGAAAAAUUGGAGGGCUGAUUUUGUUUCAUACUCCUUCUGUAUUAUCCUGGAGGUAUCACUAAGUGUUUUUUUUUUAAUUAUCCGAAUAUCUCUUUUAUUGUAAGAGCUGUAAUUAAAAACACUGCUUUGAAGAUUUUUUGAAGUUAUACUUCUUUACGAGCGUAAUGAUGGUGAAUUUUUAUAUGGUAAAACCUAGCGACCGGGCGCAUGCGCAUUAUAACUUUGUUCUGAUUGGAUGUUCAAGUGACAUGUCAAAAAUUAUCCAAUAUGGCAGCUGUAGCGCAGCUGUGGUUUGGACGGUUUGGUUAUGUCGUUGAUUGAUAAAUAUAGUUUCAUAUUAUAUUUUUGGACUUAUUAACAUGCAUGUCAUAAACUGUGUGAGUGCGAUUUUCAAUCGCAAAAUUACUGAUAAAAACCUAUUCGCUCGAAGAGGUAGAGUGUAGAGAACUGUGGAUAACAUCAAUCAACCGGGACGAUUUACGAUCUCACUUAUUCAAAACUAAAGACUCGGAGAAUCCAGUACUUGGAGUCUUUCAUUACUGUCAAUGAUUACUGACGAACCUGCUUAUUUAGAGGACGAAAAUCAUCCUGAUCAAGUUCCAUCACAGGAAAUGGUACGCAAGCCUCAAAAAAGUGCGUAGGUAACAGGAUGUUGAAAGAAUGAGGAGACUGGAAAAGAAAGAAGUAAAUUGAGAGGGAGUAAAUCCAAUAAACACAUUUAUCUUAUGCUAUUUCAAGUGGAUAUAACAACUAAAAAAUAAAUAAUGGAGAAUAAUUUAAU